AUUGAACGCUGGCGGCAUGCUUUACACAUGCAAGUCGAACGGUAACAGGUUAAGCUGACGAGUGGCGAACGGGUGAGUAAUGUAUCGGAACGUGCCCAGUCGUGGGGGAUAACGUAGCGAAAGCUACGCUAAUACCGCAUACGAUCUGUGGAUGAAAGCGGGGGACCGUAAGGCCUCGCGCGAUUGGAGCGGCCGAUAUCAGAUUAGGUAGUUGGUGGGGUAAAGGCCCACCAAGCCAACGAUCUGUAGCUGGUCUGAGAGGACGACCAGCCACACUGGGACUGAGACACGGCCCAGACUCCUACGGGAGGCAGCAGUGGGGAAUUUUGGACAAUGGGGGCAACCCUGAUCCAGCAAUGCCGCGUGCAGGAAGAAGGCCUUCGGGUUGUAAACUGCUUUUGUACGGAACGAAAAGGCUCUGGUUAAUACCUGGGGUUUAUGACGGUACCGUAAGAAUAAGCACCGGCUAACUACGUGCCAGCAGCCGCAGUAA
RNAcentral lists this ribosomal RNA (493 nucleotides) under uncultured bacterium. RNAcentral's name for it is "partial 16S ribosomal RNA". It matches the Rfam family "Bacterial small subunit ribosomal RNA", at positions 30 to 523 of the family's 1533-position model. The record is from RNAcentral.